Molecule: ribosomal RNA, 589 nt
Filed under: uncultured bacterium
Lineage: Bacteria
Description: bacterial SSU rRNA
Rfam family: Bacterial small subunit ribosomal RNA
Source: RNAcentral
AGAGUUUGAUCAUGGCUCAGAAUCAACGCUGGCGGCGCGCUUAACGCAUGCAAGUCGAACGAGAAAGUGGAGCAAUCCAUGAGUAAAGUGGCGUACUGGUGAGUAACACGUGGGUAAUCUACCUCUGGGUGGGGAAUAACUCUGGGAAACCGGAGCUAAUACCGCAUAAGCCUGUAAAGGGAAAGGCGAAAGUCGCCGAGAGAGGAGCCCGCGGCUGAUUAGCUAGUUGGUGGGGUAAAGGCCUACCAAGGCUGAGAUCGGUAGCCGGCCUGAGAGGGCACACGGCCACACUGGCACUGAAACACGGGCCAGACUCCUACGGGAGGCAGCAGUGGGGAAUCUUGCACAAUGGGGGAAACCCUGAUGCAGCGACGCCGCGUGAGCGAUGAAGCCCUUCGGGGUGUAAAGCUCUUUCGGCAGGGACGAUAAUGACGGUACCUGCAGAAGAAGCUGCGGCUAACUACGUGCCAGCAGCCGCGGUAAUACGUAGGCAGCGAGCGUUGUUCGGAGUUACUGGGCGUAAAGCGUGCGUAGGCGGUGGUCCAAGUCUGGUGUGAAAUCUCCCGGCUUAACUGGGAGGGUGCGCCGG